Molecule: long non-coding RNA, 501 nt
Organism: Gasterosteus aculeatus aculeatus (three-spined stickleback)
Lineage: Eukaryota; Metazoa; Chordata; Actinopteri; Perciformes; Gasterosteidae
Source: Ensembl
CAUUAUGUAUGUGACUGUGUAGCGUUUGCAGAUGGACCGCUUCCCAAGUGUGCCGUGCGUGUCUGCGCGUGGGAUAGCAAGAUGCAGGCUACUUGCAGGGUCUCCGCCCGAGAAGCUGUCGGUAGAAACAUCUAACCCAGUUUCCAUCCACCUCCUGCUUCCGAGGGUGGUCGUCUCAGCCUUGCCGUCUGUCACCAGAAGAUGGCACUGCAGCCAAGUCAUCAUGCUACGCUGCCACCAAUUCCAGCUGCCAGCUCUGGCUGCCAAAGAGAAAAGUGCAAAUGUAUUUGUUUCACCCAGGCUCUGAGGGCUUUUUCAGCUUGUGUUCAGAGGCCAGAUGCAGUAUGUGACACGGAGAGAGAAUAUCAAUACCCAAUAUGCUCACAGGACAGCGGCCGACGGCUCAGAGUCCUCCAAGCACAGAGUGGCGAUUCCCCUUUUAGAGUCGCUCCCUAUUCAAAUUACACUCUUGUCGCCCUGAAAAGCACAAAUGAUCAUGGC